CUUUACUGUAGCCUGGGAUUGGGUUCGGGCUUUAACUGCGCAGGAUAGGUGGGAGACUAUGAAGGCAUCCUUGUGGGGAUGCUGGAGUCAACGGUGAGAUACCACUCUGUUAAGGCUAGAAUUCUAACUGGUUCCCGUGAAUCCGGGAACAAGACAGUUUCAGGGGGGCAGUUUGACUGGGGCGGUCGCCUCCUAAAGUGUAACGGAGGCGCACAAAGGUUUCCUCAGGCUGGUUGGAAAUCAGCCGAAGAGUGCAAAGGCAGAAGGAAGCUUGACUGUGAGAGUGACAACUCGAGCAGGGUGGAAACACGGUCUUAGUGAUCCGACGGCUAUGAGUGGAAGUGCCGUCGCUCAACGGAUAAAAGUUA
RNAcentral lists this ribosomal RNA (368 nucleotides) under uncultured organism. Its description in RNAcentral is "bacterial LSU rRNA". It matches the Rfam family "Bacterial large subunit ribosomal RNA", at positions 2099 to 2465 of the family's 2925-position model. The record is from RNAcentral.